AGUUUUCCAUAGGUGCUACCUAAAUCUUCCCCCGCAUUGUAUUUGAAAGGAACCUUUGAGGGGCAGGUAGUGUUGGGGUUAAAGAGCUAAAACAUGCUUUGCACAAAAACUUGUUUCUCAGGAUUUCUACGCAUUUAAUUGCCUGUGUUUGCCUACAGCCCUGAGUGUCUCUGUUGCUCUUUGUGUAAAUAUCUCCUCUUCCAGUCCCCUCCUACUCUCCACGUGGUAGCCCUUGUUAGUGCUGUGUCCCUUCCAGGCACAGCAGUAUCUCUCCUCCUCUUUUGACUCUGCCCUAGAGUGCCCUGUGGCCAAGGGUCCUUUCUUCUGGCCACCUGGCUUGCCUCUUUCUUAGGCUUCUCAGCAUAAUGGUUUGAAGUCACCAUUCCCUGCAAGUGUUCUUAAUUAACCUCACCUUUUCUCCAGUCUAUUCUGUUAACUCCUGCCUCAUCUCUUCCUCUUAAUGCCCCAUUUGUAAUUAUCAUUGCGGUCCUGACAUAUUUCCAGGGGACAUGGAUUAGUUUUUUUCCCCGACUAGAGUGUAAAUUCCUCGAGGCGUUUUUUUCAGUUUAUAUGUUCUGAGUUCCUUUUGCUGUGCUGAAGUCUCCAAAGCCCAAAGACAGGACUUAGAGGAUCUGGAUUCUCGUGGUCUCCAGCUGACUUCUGUCUUGGAGGCUUCUCCAGGAACUCAGCUUUCAGGAUUGGAGCCAAAAUCUCAGAAUAAGCAGCAGCCAGAGACAUCCUUUCCAUUUUGCAGAGGGGUAAACUGGAAGAGAUGGCAACGACUUGAGAGAGGGCCUCAAGGCCAACCAGGACCAGAGCCGGUGCAGCCCUGCCCUUAGAAAGCAGUGCCUGGGACCUCCUACCACCAGAAGCUCGUCAGCCACCAUCCAUGCCAACAAAAUCAAGGAAACUUCUAUUUUGAGCUAUUUACAGUCUUUAAUAAUUGAGUAAGGUAUACUCCUGUGAACAAAAUUUGGAGCAUAUUUGUUUCUCUCUGCCUGGCUUCUCCAGAAUUUGGAAACUAUCUGUGAGUAUUCUUAACCUAUGGCAAUAUAGUUAUUAGCCUCAGUGCAGUAGGAAUCCAUUUUCUUUU
Molecule: long non-coding RNA, 1093 nt
Filed under: Homo sapiens (human)
Lineage: Eukaryota; Metazoa; Chordata; Mammalia; Primates; Hominidae
Description: HSALNT0183327
Source: RNAcentral